CACAUGCAAGUCGAACGGAACUUCGGGUUUAGUGGCGGACGGGUGAGUAACGCGUGAGGAUCUGCCUUUAGGUCGGGGACAACAGUUGGAAACGACUGCUAAUACCGGAUGUGCAGCAAUGUGAAAGAUUUAUUGCCUAGAGAUGAGCUCGCGUCUGAUUAGCUAGUAGGUGUGGUAAUGGCGCACCUAGGCGACGAUCAGUAACUGGUCUGAGAGGAUGACCAGUCACACUGGGACUGAGACACGGCCCAGACUCCUACGGGAGGCAGCAGUGGGGAAUUUUCCGCAAUGGGCGAAAGCCUGACGGAGCAAUACCGCGUGAGGGACGAAGGCUUUUGGGUCGUAAACCUCUUUUCCCUGAGAAGAAGAUCUGACGGUAUCAGGGGAAUCAGCAUCGGCUAACUUCGUGCCAGCAGCCGCGGUAAUACGAGGGAUGCAAGCGUUAUCCGGAAUUAUUGGGCGUAAAGCGUCCGCAGGUGGCUCUGUAAGUCUGUCGUUAAAGAAUGGGGCUCAACCCCAUACAGGCGAUGGAAACUACCAGGCUAGAGUUUGGUAGGGGUCACGGGAAUUCCUAGUGUAGCGGUGAAAUGCGUAGAUAUUAGGAAGAACACCAGCGGCGAAAGCGCGUGACUGGGCCAGUACUUGACACUCAUGGACGAAAGC
RNAcentral lists this ribosomal RNA (663 nucleotides) under uncultured cyanobacterium. Its description in RNAcentral is "bacterial SSU rRNA". It matches the Rfam family "Bacterial small subunit ribosomal RNA", at positions 52 to 760 of the family's 1533-position model. The record is from RNAcentral. Lineage: Bacteria; Bacillati; Cyanobacteriota.